CCAAUAGCGUAUAUUAAAGUUGUUGCAGUUAAAAAGCUCGUAGUUGAAUUUCGAGACCGGUUUAUUGGUCGUGCUUUUGUACGUACUGGUAUUAUUGGUUUCUCCUUUCUGACGAAUCUUAAUGCCAUUAAUUUGGUGUUUUGGGGAAUCAGGACUGUUACUUUGAAAAAAUUAGAGUGUUUAAAGAAGGCUCACGCUGGAAUACAUUAGCAUGGAAUAACGGAAUAGGACGUUUGAUUCUAUUUUGUUGGUUUCUAGGAUCGACGUAAUGAUUAAUAGGGAUAGUUGGGGGCAUUAGUAUUCAAUUGUCAGAGGUGAAAUUCUUGGAUUUAUUGAAGACUAACUACUGCGAAAGCAUUUGCCAAGGAUGUUUUCAUUAAUCAAGAACGAAAGUUAGGGGAUCGAAGACGAUCAGAUACCGUCGUAGUCUUAACCAUAAACUAUGCCGACUAGGGAUCGGAUGAUGUUAAUUUUUUAAUGACUCAUUCGGCGCCUUACG
This 499-nucleotide ribosomal RNA is filed under the name uncultured Glomeromycotina. RNAcentral's name for it is "partial small subunit ribosomal RNA". It matches the Rfam family "Eukaryotic small subunit ribosomal RNA", at positions 591 to 1092 of the family's 1831-position model. The record is from RNAcentral. Lineage: Eukaryota; Fungi; Glomeromycota.